CAGCUUGACUGCGAGCGUGACGGCGCGAGCAGGUGCGAAAGCAGGUCAUAGUGAUCCGGUGGUUCUGAAUGGAAGGGCCAUCGCUCAACGGAUAAAAGGUACUCCGGGGAUAACAGGCUGAUACCGCCCAAGAGUUCAUAUCGACGGCGGUGUUUGGCACCUCGAUGUCGGCUCAUCACAUCCUGGGGCUGAAGUAGGUCCCAAGGGUAUGGCUGUUCGCCAUUUAAAGUGGUACGCGAGCUGGGUUUAGAACGUCGUGAGACAGUUCGGUCCCUAUCUGCCGUG
Molecule: ribosomal RNA, 285 nt
Filed under: Escherichia coli
Lineage: Bacteria; Pseudomonadati; Pseudomonadota; Gammaproteobacteria; Enterobacterales; Enterobacteriaceae
Description: partial 23S ribosomal RNA
Rfam family: Bacterial large subunit ribosomal RNA
Source: RNAcentral